UCCCGUGUGGUCUAGUGGUUAGGAUUUGUGGCUCUCACCCACACGGCCCGGGUUCGAUUCCCGGCACGGGAA
Trichuris muris is the source of this 72-nucleotide non-coding RNA. NCBI's taxonomy places the organism in Eukaryota, Metazoa, Nematoda, Enoplea, Trichinellida, Trichuridae. The record is from Rfam.